Molecule: non-coding RNA, 58 nt
Organism: Aedes albopictus (Asian tiger mosquito)
Lineage: Eukaryota; Metazoa; Arthropoda; Insecta; Diptera; Culicidae
Source: Rfam
UAGCCUAGUGGUUAAGGCUAUGGAUCGCCAAUCCGGAGACGACGGGUUCGAUUCCCAU